Molecule: ribosomal RNA, 730 nt
Filed under: uncultured Acinetobacter sp.
Lineage: Bacteria; Pseudomonadati; Pseudomonadota; Gammaproteobacteria; Moraxellales; Moraxellaceae
Description: bacterial SSU rRNA
Rfam family: Bacterial small subunit ribosomal RNA
Source: RNAcentral
AACCGGAUUAGAUACCCUGGUAGUCCAUGCCGUAAACGAUGUCUACUAGCCGUUGGGGCCUUUGAGGCUUUAGUGGCGCAGCUAACGCGAUAAGUAGACCGCCUGGGGAGUACGGUCGCAAGACUAAAACUCAAAUGAAUUGACGGGGGCCCGCACAAGCGGUGGAGCAUGUGGUUUAAUUCGAUGCAACGCGAAGAACCUUACCUGGCCUUGACAUAGUAGAAACUUUCCAGAGAUGGAAAGGUGCCUUCGGGAAUCUACAUACAGGUGCUGCAUGGCUGUCGUCAGCUCGUGUCGUGAGAUGUUGGGUUAAGUCCCGCAACGAGCGCAACCCUUUUCCUUACUUGCCAGCAUUUCGGAUGGGAACUUUAAGGAUACUGCCAGUGACAAACUGGAGGAAGGCGGGGACGACGUCAAGUCAUCAUGGCCCUUACGGCCAGGGCUACACACGUGCUACAAUGGUUGGUACAAAGGGUUGCUACACAGCGAUGUGAUGCUAAUCUCAAAAAGCCGAUCGUAGUCCGGAUCGCAGUCUGCAACUCGACUGCGUGAAGUCGGAAUCGCUAGUAAUCGCGGAUCAGAAUGCCGCGGUGAAUACGUUCCCGGGCCUUGUACACACCGCCCGUCACACCAUGGGAGUUUGUUGCACCAGAAGUAGGUAGUCUAACCGCAAGGAGGACGCUUACCACAGUGUGGCCGAUGACUGGGGUGAAGUCGUAACAAGGUAGCC